AACGAACGCUGGCGGCAGGCUUAACACAUGCAAGUCGAGCGCCCACUUAGGUGGGAGCGGCAGACGGGUGAGUAACGCGUAGGAACCUACCUAUAUCUACGGAACAACAGUUGGAAACGACUGCUAAUACCGUAUACGCCCUCCGGGGGAAAGAUUUAUCGGAUAUAGAUGGGCCUGCGUUGGAUUAGCUAGUUGGUAAGGUAAAAGCUUACCAAGGCGACGAUCCAUAGCUGGUUUGAGAGGAUGAUCAGCCACACUGGGACUGAGACACGGCCCAGACUCCUACGGGAGGCAGCAGUGGGGAAUCUUGGACAAUGGGGGAAACCCUGAUCCAGCCAUGCCGCGUGAGUGAUGAAGGUCUUAGGAUCGUAAAGCUCUUUCGCUAGGGAAGAUAAUGACGGUACCUAGUAAAGAAGCCCCGGCUAACUUCG
This 431-nucleotide ribosomal RNA is filed under the name uncultured Alphaproteobacteria bacterium. RNAcentral describes it as "bacterial SSU rRNA". It matches the Rfam family "Bacterial small subunit ribosomal RNA", at positions 29 to 505 of the family's 1533-position model. The record is from RNAcentral. Lineage: Bacteria; Pseudomonadati; Pseudomonadota; Alphaproteobacteria.